GUCUUUCAAGUCCGAUGCUAAAGACUGGGGCUCAACCCCAGGGGUGCGUUGGAUACUGUGAGGCUAGACGGUCGGAGGGGGUAGCGGAAUUUCCGGAGUAGCGGUGAAAUGCGCAGAUACCGGAAGGAACGCCAAUAGCGAAGGCAGCUACCUGGACGACUUGUGACGCUGAGGCGCGAAAGCGUGGGGAGCAAACCGGAUUAGAUACCCGGGUAGUCCACGCCCUAAACCAUGAGUGCUGGGUGUCCGGCUUCUGCUGGGUGCCGUAGCUAACGCGCUAAGCACUCCGCCUGGGAAGUACGCACGCAAGUGUGAAACUCAAAGGAAUUGACGGGGGCCCGCACAAGCGGUGGAGCAUGUGGUUUAAUUCGAAGCGACGCGAAGAACCUUACCAGGCCUUGACAUGCCCGGAACCCCUCUGAAAGGAGGGGGUGCCCGCAAGGGAGCCGGGACACAGGUGCUGCAUGGCCGUCGUCAGCUCGUGUCGUGAGAUGUUGGGUUAAGUCCCGCAACGAGCGCAACCCCUAUCCCUAGUUGCCAGCAGUUCGGCUGGGCACUCUAUGGAGACUGCCUGCGAAAGCAGGAGGAAGGCGGGGAUGACGUCUGGUCCGCAUGGCCCUUACGGCCUGGGCGACACACGUGCUACAAUGCCAAGGACAGAGCGCUGCUACCUCGCGAGAGGACGCCAAUCGCAAAAACCUUGGCUCAGUUCGGAUUGGAGUCUGCAACUCGACUCCAUGAAGCCGGAUUCGCUAGUUAUCGCAAAUCAGCCAU
This 774-nucleotide ribosomal RNA is filed under the name uncultured Thermaceae bacterium. RNAcentral's name for it is "bacterial SSU rRNA". It matches the Rfam family "Bacterial small subunit ribosomal RNA", at positions 578 to 1355 of the family's 1533-position model. The record is from RNAcentral. Lineage: Bacteria; Thermotogati; Deinococcota; Deinococci; Thermales; Thermaceae.